GGUUAAGCGAACAAGCGUACACGGUGGAUGCCCUGGCAGUCAGAGGCGAUGAAGGACGUGCUAAUCUGCGAAAAGCGCCGGUAAGGUGAUAUGAACCGUUAUAACCGGCGAUGUCCGAAUGGGGAAACCCGGUGCACUUCGGUGCAUCAUCGUUAGCUGAAUACAUAGGCUAACGAGGCGAACCGGGGGAACUGAAACAUCUAAGUACCCCGAGGAAAAGAAAUCAACCGAGAUUCCCCCAGUAGCGGCGAGCGAACGGGGAACAGCCCAGAGCCUGAAUCAGCUUGUGUGUCAGUGGAACGGUCUGGAAAGGCCGGCGAUACAGGGUGACAGCCCCGUACACGAAGGCACACAGGCUGUGAGCUCGAUGAGUAGGGCGGGACACGUGAUAUCCUGUCUGAAGAUGGGGGG
Molecule: ribosomal RNA, 411 nt
Filed under: Cronobacter sakazakii
Lineage: Bacteria; Pseudomonadati; Pseudomonadota; Gammaproteobacteria; Enterobacterales; Enterobacteriaceae
Description: partial 23S ribosomal RNA
Rfam family: Bacterial large subunit ribosomal RNA
Source: RNAcentral